AUCCUGAUACACUGGCACAGACCCCCUGAAGGACACAUAAAACUAAACAUAGAUGGCUUAUUCGAACCAAAUUCCAAAAACGGUGGAACAGGAGGAGUACUACGGAACCACCAAGGAAAUUGGGUAAAGGGUUUUUGCCUGUAAAGUUAGAGUGGAAAAUGCUCUACACGCAAAACUGUUAUCUCUUCUUCAUGGACUGACACUAGCCCAAAGAUAUAAUAUUAAGCGUAUUCUGGCGAAAAUCGACUCUCAGGAAAGGAAAGAGGAUUGAUAAGGCAGAGAAGAAAAAGUUACUUGAAUGGUUUACCCUUAUAUUUGACUUUGGUAUGGCUUAUACCUAAUGGAUGAAGAUUUUGUCAAGGUUAAGAAUGAAUGAUAUCUAUAAUCAGGUCUAAUUGUUGCAGUAUUUGAUAAGAAAGAAAAAAUUAUUGACUUUUUAUAUAUUUUAAGGUUGCCAUUGAUUUCUUAUAUGUCAUCCUGACAUCCUUUAUAUAUGGAGGGUUGCUAGGAAAUCCUUUGCACUUCUUGGAUGUACGUACUUUAUUCCGUAGUCGUUCAAUUACUAUACAAUUUCUAUAACAAAUGUUAUAAGUCAUCAGUUGUAAUUAACUUGUAAAGGUAAAACCCUCAUAUUAUUUA
Solanum dulcamara is the source of this 639-nucleotide long non-coding RNA. RefSeq lists it as uncharacterized. NCBI's taxonomy places the organism in Eukaryota, Viridiplantae, Streptophyta, Magnoliopsida, Solanales, Solanaceae. The transcript has 2 exons. The record is from RefSeq and is a predicted model, not a curated record.